AGAGUUUGAUCAUGGCUCAGAACGAACGCUGGCGGCAUGCCUAACACAUGCAAGUCGAACGAGACCUUCGGGUCUAGUGGCGCACGGGUGCGUAACGCGUGGGAAUCUGCCCUUAGGGUUCGGAAUAACAGUUAGAAAUGACUGCUAAUACCGGAUAAUGUCUUCGGACCAAAGAUUUAUCGCCCAGGGAUGAGCCCGCGUAGGAUUAGCUAGUUGGUGAGGUAAAGGCUCACCAAGGCGACGAUCCUUAGCUGGUCUGAGAGGAUGAUCAGCCACACUGGGACUGAGACACGGCCCAGACUCCUACGGGAGGCAGCAGUGGGGAAUAUUGGACAAUGGGCGAAAGCCUGAUCCAGCAAUGCCGCGUGAGUGAUGAAGGCCUUAGGGUUGUAAAGCUCUUUUACCCGGGAUGAUAAUGACAGUACCCGCAGAAUAAGCCCCGGCUAACUUCGUG
Molecule: ribosomal RNA, 454 nt
Filed under: uncultured bacterium
Lineage: Bacteria
Description: bacterial SSU rRNA
Rfam family: Bacterial small subunit ribosomal RNA
Source: RNAcentral